RNAcentral lists this long non-coding RNA (744 nucleotides) under Fukomys damarensis (Damara mole-rat). Its description in RNAcentral is "lncRNA (ENSFDAG00000033116.1)". Lineage: Eukaryota; Metazoa; Chordata; Mammalia; Rodentia; Bathyergidae. The record is from RNAcentral.
CCUAACUUUACCUAAUAUAUUUUUGGUGAAAUUAUCACUUUCACAUGUGAUCAGUAUAAAAAUUGUAUUGCCUUCUCUCCCCCUAAUUUUUCUGUCUUCACAGUCCAGCUGCGGUCUUUGGAGCACAUUCCACUUCAGGUGAACCACAGUUUAAGCAUUUGAUGGCCACCGCAUGGUACAGGCCAGAUACAUGCUUAGCCCACAGCUCCCAGGUUGGAGCAGGGAGGUGAUGGCAGACCAAGCAGGCUCCGGUUCAUCCUCGUCCUCAUGGUCUUCACUUUAUGUCCAUCUUCCCCGUCCACCUGCCUGCCCCGCUGCCUUUGGACACAGAAGUGACUGCCUCACACAUAGGAGUGAACAGCUCUCACUGUCCCAUGAGGCCAAAGCCCUCCAAUUGCUAACUGAUGAACUAAUGACUAAUGAAAUAAAAUAAUUCAGCUGUCAUGCAAUGUCUGAAUGCUUCCUUACCUAUCCCACCCUUAAGGUGGAGCCUAGGAGAGGUGACUCGUCAUGAGGGCUGCAGCCCAUAAGUGCAAUUAGGGAGCCCCUACAUCAAGGGAGCCCCCACACCUGCCCUUCCACCAUUUGAAGCAGAGCCAGAGUCCUCUAGGAGCCAGGAGGGAGCCCCCACCAGACACUGAAUCUGGAGGCACGUUGGUCUUGGGCUGCUUACUGUUUAUAAGCCACCAGUUUAUAGUAUUUUGUUGUCGAGUCCUGCACAGACUAAGACUAUAUAUAUAUAUA